AGCUUUGCCCAGUGGCAGUAUCAUAGCCAAUGAGGUUUAUCCGAGGCGCGAUUAUUGCUAAUUGAAAACUUAAAGAAUUCCUGGUCUUGUCACUUCCCCCUUUAUGGUGCUGAGUUUAAAAUCAUCCAAAGCUUAAGUAAUUAA
Molecule: small nuclear RNA, 144 nt
Organism: Camelus dromedarius (Arabian camel)
Lineage: Eukaryota; Metazoa; Chordata; Mammalia; Artiodactyla; Camelidae
Gene: U4
Rfam family: U4 spliceosomal RNA
About the family: U4 small nuclear RNA (U4 snRNA) is a component of the major U2-dependent spliceosome. The structure of U4 snRNA from yeast and human has been reported. U4 snRNA presents a k-turn RNA motif in the 5p-SL related to recognition of Snu13 protein.
Source: Ensembl